Molecule: ribosomal RNA, 424 nt
Filed under: uncultured bacterium
Lineage: Bacteria
Also listed under: 1 other name
Description: bacterial SSU rRNA
Rfam family: Bacterial small subunit ribosomal RNA
Source: RNAcentral
GUGGGGAAUAUUGCACAAUGGGCGAAAGCCUGAUGCAGCAACGCCGCGUGAGCGAUGAAGGCCUUCGGGUCGUAAAGCUCUGUCCUCAAGGAAGAUAAUGACGGUACUUGAGGAGGAAGCCCCGGCUAACUACGUGCCAGCAGCCGCGGUAAUACGUAGGGGGCUAGCGUUAUCCGGAAUUACUGGGCGUAAAGGGUGCGUAGGUGGUUUCUUAAGUCAGAGGUGAAAGGCUACGGCUCAACCGUAGUAAGCCUUUGAAACUGGGAAACUUGAGUGCAGGAGAGGAGAGUGGAAUUCCUAGUGUAGCGGUGAAAUGCGUAGAUAUUAGGAGGAACACCAGUUGCGAAGGCGGCUCUCUGGACUGUAACUGACACUGAGGCACGAAAGCGUGGGGAGCAAACAGGAUUAGAAACCCCAGUAGUCC